UACGGUGAUCAUGGCGAAAGGGAAAUACCCGGCUCCAUUCCGAACCCGGAAGUUAAGCCUUUCAGCGCCGAUGGUACUGCACGGGAGACUGUGUGGGAGAGUAGGUCGUCGCCGGAC
Molecule: ribosomal RNA, 117 nt
Filed under: Propionibacteriaceae bacterium
Lineage: Bacteria; Bacillati; Actinomycetota; Actinomycetes; Propionibacteriales; Propionibacteriaceae
Source: RNAcentral